UACAAUUCCUAUCUGUGGUCUUAGAUUCUCUCAUGGCUUUAAAAAGACUGUGCAAAUUCAAGGGCAAAAGGAGAUGAAUGAUGUUAAUUAAUAUCAACUCAGAAUGUUAACACUGGCUCAGUGUUUCUAUCCACCUAGAAAGAACUUUUUAAAUUGUGAAUUCUGUUUCCUGUCUCACAGUACAAUUCUUCUAUUUUAGAAUAUGAUGAAGAUUUUGAAGCAGAUGAAGAAGUUAAUGAAGAGGGACAGACUGGUGAUCAAAUGAAUGGAAUGUCAAAGUCAUCCUCAAAUGAUAAAAACCAUAAUUUAGACUAUGGAAAGGAGAGUGAAACCUCGUCUCAGAAGGCACUGCAGGCCUCUGACAGUGAGAAAGAUAAAAGUGGCAGAUAUUCUGAUGACAGGGACUCUGAAGAUGAUCUACCAGAGAGGAGGCCUGCAGACUCUCUCUCAUCCAUGAGCACUCAGUGCAGCACUGAGACUGACUCUCAAGCUGAAAUGAAGGCAGACCACGUGAAUUGCAAAGAGGACUGCAAUAUCAAAAGUACAUCUGAUAGUGCAGCACAUGCACACUGUGGAAAUGAGAAUGGGGAGAAGAAACUGCUCAGAGUGGAGGAAAAUCAAGAGAAUUCUGCACUGGAAAAGAAAGGAAUAGAUGAAUCAGAAAAGACAAAACCAGAAGAUCUAACAGCAAGGGAAGAUACUAGAAUUUUUCUUGAAAACAUAAGGGCAAUGCAGUAUCAAAGUCCUGAGGUUAAUGGGGAAUUCAAACAGACUGGGUCAGGAGAAAGUAACAUGAAUGAGGAGGAGAAAUGUCCUCCAGUGCCUUGGGAAAGCAGGGUAUUGAGCAAGGAGGAUGGCAACGAGGAGCCUCCUUGGUGUGGGGAAGGAGGUGUUUUUGAAGAAUGCAAACCAGUCCAGGAAGAAAUAGCAAAAGCAACUGGAAGUGAUCAUGCUGUGAAUUCUGACCCUGAGCCUGGUGAUUUUUGUGCCAAUGAGGAAGAAAAGAAUGCAGCAAAUACAGAGCAUGGUGCCAGUGGAGGUAAGAUUGGCUGUCAGUCAGAGACAAGGAUUACCUGAAGUCUUUUAAUGGAAGUGUUUGCCCUUUCCCU
This is a long non-coding RNA of Camarhynchus parvulus, 1109 nucleotides long. The record is from Ensembl. Lineage: Eukaryota; Metazoa; Chordata; Aves; Passeriformes; Thraupidae.